AGAGUUUGAUCAUGGCUCAGAACGAACGCUGGCGGCAGGCCUAACACAUGCAAGUCGAACGCCGUAGCAAUACGGAGUGGCAGACGGGUGAGUAACGCGUGGGAACAUACCCCUCGGUUCGGAAUAACUCAGGGAAACUUGAGCUAAUACCGGAUACGUCCGAGGUUUUAAUCGACCUUGGAGAAAGAUUUAUCGCCGGAGGAUUGGCCCGCGUCUGAUUAGCUUGUUGGUGAGGUAAUGGCUCACCAAGGCGACGAUCAGUAGCUGGUCUGAGAGGAUGAUCAGCCACAUUGGGACUGAGACACGGCCCAAACUCCUACGGGAGGCAGCAGUGGGGAAUAUUGGACAAUGGGCGAAAGCCUGAUCCAGCCAUGCCGCGUGAGUGAUGAAGGCCUUAGGGUUGUAAAGCUCUUUUACCCGGGAAGAUAAUGACGGUACCGGGAGAAUAAGCCCCGGCUAACUUCGUGCCAGCAGCCGCGGUAAUACGAAGGGGGCUAGCGUUGUUCGGAAUUACUGGGCGUAAAGCGCACGUAGGCGGAUCCUUAAGUCAGGGGUGAAAUCCCGAGGCUCAACCUCGGAACUGCCUUUGAUACUGGGGAUAUCGAGUCCGGGAGAGGUGAGUGGAACUGCGAGUGUAGAGGUGAAAUUCGUAGAUAUUCGCAAGAACACCAGUGGCGAAGGCGGCUCACUGGCCCGGUACUGACGCUGAGGUGCGAAAGCGUGGGGAGCAAACAGGAUUAGAUACCCUGGUAGUCCACGCCGUAAACGAUGGAUGCUAGCCGUUAGACAGCUUGCUGUUUAGUGGCGCAGUUAACGCGUUAAGCAUCCCGCCUGGGGAGUACGGUCGCAAGAUUAAAACUCAAAGGAAUUGACGG
RNAcentral lists this ribosomal RNA (875 nucleotides) under uncultured bacterium. RNAcentral's name for it is "bacterial SSU rRNA". It matches the Rfam family "Bacterial small subunit ribosomal RNA", at positions 8 to 916 of the family's 1533-position model. The record is from RNAcentral.